GAUGCUCACUAGUUUCGAUUUCGAUUUGGUCAACAUGUCUCGUAUUUUACGGAUAAUUACAUAAUGUUCAUGAAACUGUAAUUAUUAAUAGGUUAAUGCAGUAUCAUGGCCAUCAUGUUAUCGUGUUAAAAGAGAAUCCGAGAGAAAUACUGUAUUUGGUCAAUGACGGAUAACGAAUAUUUUUUGGUAGGCUAUGGAUCUGCUCAAGAGUUUCCUUUGCAUUCUUUGUGUAUUUGGACUGCGGCAUAACAAAGAAACAGCCACAGAAAAAGAACAAGGCCCUGAUGAGUGGAGUUAGUGAAGUUACUGCACCGUCUGUGUAUUUGCACUGCUCAUAAGCAAAGUUUCCCUGCAGGUUGUGGGUAUUAUUGGAGGUUCUGUUUUGUUGCCAUGUGCUUCCAAUGAUACUAAGCACGAACGUCCUGACAUUAAUGUGUGUUGGAGACACAAUGGCACCCUGAAUGUGUACGACAUAACCAAAGGCAACUGUUCAGAAAAGCUUCAAAAGGCAGACUACAAGAACAGAGCUAAAGUUUUCCCUGAUGAGUAUGAGAAUGGAAACUUUUCCCUCAAACUAAACGAUCUUAUUCCCACUGAUGCAGGAGAGUACCAAUGCUUCAUCUUACAUUCAUCUGAACUUGUGAAAGUUCAGCUUCUUGUCAAUGUCUCAAAAGCAGGAAAUGGAGACCAACCAGCAGAAACGAGGCGUAUUUGGAUAUCAAUUUUGGUGCUUCCUUUUGUUUUUUUGCUUUUCUUUAUUGUUUGUGUUGUCAUUAUAUGGAAGAAAAGAGAUUAUAAAACCUCUGGUUCAAAAAUGUCUGCUCCUGGAAGGAACCCGUCUGGUAACAGUUUGUUCAAACCCUUAUCAAACACAUCUGAACCAGCUAAAUAAGUCAUUAUUCAGGGCAUUAGACUAAGGCUACGUUUACACGUGUGCGGUUAUUUUUAUAAACGUACAUUUUAACCACUCCAGUUUCAAAAAUAAUAUCGUGCACACAUGUCAGUUUUCAGAAAAGUGUUCAUGUACACGUACCCGUGCAUAUAUGUCUUCAAGAGAAGCUCAAGCCCACGUAAGCCAAUCACCGUCAGCGCUGGUGGUUACGCGAACUGGUUCUUCGUGUUGGAGGGAGGAGUUGUUGCAGUAGGUGUUCGAUGAUGUCAUAGUACCUUGAGAGCGAUUAGAAAUUAGACCUCUACGUGUGAUUUCUCAACUCGGUCUCGCGGUAAGUUGACAUCAUCCGUCUGUCGGUUCUUAUAGUGCCGCAUAAAGCAGAACACGCAUAAAAUUGCUGACCUCCACGUCUCUGCUCCUCGACAUAAUGGAGCAGCUGUAUUUGCAAUUACAAACACACGAAAUGAGUUUGCACGAACAUAAAUGUGAACAUGGAAGCGUUCAGAGUAGCAGUCACAUGUAAACAUGGGUCGCACUUUUGACGUAGGUGCGAGCUCUGGCGCAUACUCUGACGUUGGCCGCCUAAACAUCAAUUUGUCUCAGUUUACAUGCAACCGUGCAUCUGAAGAUUUUCAAGAUCUCCACUCUGGCUGGAGUUUUUAGAAACAAUCGGUUUCAGAGGCGAGUUCUCCGUUUGCGUGUAAACGAGGGGCACAAACGAAGGUAAAUCUCUCCAUUUUUCAAAAUAACCAUGUACGUGUAAACAUAGCCUAACAAAUAAGUCUACAGCAGGGCUAUUCUAAUCUUACCCUGGACGUCCAGAGCACUGCAUAGUUUAGCUCCAACCCUGAUCAAACACACCUGAUUAAGCUAAUCAAGGUCUUCAUGAUCACUAGACAAUCACAGGUGGGUAAGUUUGAUUAGGGUUGGAGCUAAACUAUGUAGUGUUCCGGCCCUCCAGGGUAAGAUUUGAAUAGCUCUGGUCUACAGGUUACUGUUUCAGCACACAAUUUUUUGUGUGUUUCUUAAUUAUAGGAUUUAUUACUGCUGCGCAAAUGAAAUCUGUAAGUAAAGCCAUCUGCUCUGUGCCUGCUUGGGCUGUUCAGAAAACUAUUCUUUAAUUAGUUUUUUCUCCAAAAAAAUGAACUGCUUUGAAUAACCAAGAUUUUGCAACUGUUCUUAUCUCCAUCUAGGGAUCUGUUAUUUAAAAAAUACAGGCAGGUUUGUUUUAUUAGGGUUGGUAGCUAAAUUCUGCUGGACAUUAUUCCUCUAGGAGCAAGACUAGAACCCCCUAAUGUUAACAAUAUCAAACUUACAUUCUAUUCUGCUUCUGAGUAGUAGGGAUGCAGGCAUGUUCAAUCCCAGAGCAUGCAGAUUUUUUUGGCAGUUAGGCCUUAGUUUAAUUUUUGAGUUCCAACCACAUGAAUGACCAAACAAUGUCAUAUUGACAAGUAUGGAAACUAGAAUUAUAGAAGAUAUUCAUGUCGAGUUGAAAAUUGAGAUUGGAGGGGGUGUAUUAACAUAAAGUUGGACAUUUCAGUUUUGGUGCUGCAUUUCAAUACUACAGUUUGUUAGAUGCAACAGCAUUUGUAGUUAGUAACGUCAAUAAGCCUAUCAAGCUAAUGACCCACAUUUCACAGUUUGCUUUUAAGCAAAUUAAUAUAAAUUAAUAAUCUUUGCGUUUCCCAACAUAGUAUUUUUGCUAAGUAAGGAUAUAUGUUGCCACAGUUGCCUUGGUAAAACGAAUGACCUAUAAACUAGCUUACUCCUAGUUAACUUAAUGAACUAGCUAACACCUAGCUUCGGUACUGUUUCUACUUGUUAAUGUAGCGUUUUAUACUGUUGACUCUUAUUUAUAAGUUGCUUUGGAUAAGUCUUCUAAAUAAAAAAAUGUAGCUGAUCUGUUAUUUAUCAAGUUUUAAGUUUCAAGUUUAUUGAUUAGUGCUGUACGAAGUCACCUAUGUCCAUCACCAAUAAUUAAAAAUAAACAUUAAACGCACAAGAAAACAGAGAGGUUUUCAAAAGACUUUUGAACUCAGACUUUGUGGGUGCUGUUUUGAUAGAUAAAGGCAAAUUGUUCCAAAACUUUGGGCCAGCAACUACCAAGGAUCUGUCCCUCAUGCAUCUCAGUCUAGAUCUGGGUACCCGUAACAGAUUACUGGUCUGUGAUCUGACCAAAUUAUGCUCAGUAAACAACUCUGACAGGUAUUGAGGAGCGAGAUUGUUUAAGGCUUUGUAGAAAAACCAUUUUAAAUUCAAUACGAUAUUAAAUCGGUAGCCAGUGCAAUGAACGUAAAAUAUUAUAUUAUUUAUAAAAAUGUAUAAUCUCGGUUACAAAUUAGCAACAUUCUUAUUACUGUUACACGGUGUUCAACUUGAUAGAACAACCUUUCGUGUUUAUAGUUUUUUUUAAAUUAAUAUUUCAGGUCCUAGAUUUGGUCUUUGAUUUUUUGUAUUCUCCACUGCCACAGUUGUUUUUCACCCGAAGUCUAUGGAAAUUGAGAAACUGUAAUUUUUAGGAAUAUUGUGGUGUGUUUUUUUUUUUUUACAAAUUACUUAUCUUUGAGAUUCUUUUUUUUUAAUUCAUGUGCCCUCAUAAUCUUUAUUCAAAAAUGCAAAUAUCCCCUCCUCAAAAUGAUCUCUCUUCCAGUCGUAUGAUAUGGCAGUCUAAUAACUUGAAUUUCCUGUGUCAUGUGCACUCUACGUUCCUUUCUAUUGUACAUUUUCAAAGUCUUGUUAUACACAGUAAUUUCAGGACACUUUCGGUUAGGUUUUGGGAAUAAUUUUCAUAGUAGUGGUUCAAUUAUAUAUUUAUGUAUAAAUAUCUUAAAGGCAUGUUUUGGUGCAACAUACUGUACGUUUUUUCAUCUAAAAUAAAACUGUCUACGCAUUUGAUUGAAUUAUUCUUUAGAAAUGUGAGCAGUGUCACCAACAUGUGGUCACAGCAGUUUUUUCGCAAUUUCAACCUAAUAUUUUCUGUCAUAUUUUUCUUAUACAGUAAAACACAGACAGUUUAGUUUUAAAGACACAUUAAUUUUACUGUCAAAUGUCUGUGAUGCAUAAGUUAUAAACAGUGGUAACUCAGGUCUGUAAACUGAAAGCCUUAAAGGGAUACUUCUUCCAGAAAUGAAAAUAACCCACAAGCGGAUUGUAAGGAACAUGCAUAUUCUUAUUUGUUUUCCACCAGUUUUGACCAAAAAUGACGUCACUGCACAUGCGCAGUAGGAACAAAUAUAAACCAGAUAAAUAUAAUACACACAACAGGAACUGAAUUAUUAACAAACCUUAUUGUACCAAAAUUACAUAAU
Molecule: non-coding RNA, 4200 nt
Organism: Misgurnus anguillicaudatus (oriental weatherfish)
Lineage: Eukaryota; Metazoa; Chordata; Actinopteri; Cypriniformes; Cobitidae
Source: RefSeq, a predicted model, not a curated record